This is a long non-coding RNA of Leopardus geoffroyi (Geoffroy's cat), 664 nucleotides long. RefSeq lists it as uncharacterized. The record is from RefSeq and is a predicted model, not a curated record. The transcript is spliced from 2 exons. NCBI's taxonomy places the organism in Eukaryota, Metazoa, Chordata, Mammalia, Carnivora, Felidae.
UGUAGUUUGUUGUCGGAAAGUUAAGUCCUCAGGCUUCAUUCAGUUCUAGAUUUCAGCAAAAAUAAAUAGUUCCCGGCUUUCAACUGGUGGAAGAGUUAUUUUCUAAGCUCAAAAAUAUUGUUUAUGAACUACAAGCUGGGCAAUUACUUCUUCUGCUUCACGAGACCUCUUGAACUCGAAACAGCCCUUUAAGGCCGAUCCGGUGCUUGCCUCUGGGCCGGCCAGAGAACUAACAGCACAUCUUCCUCGAAAGCCACCGGGCAAAUGCCCUGGCCUUCCUCCUCCCGAGGGUCACUGCCACCCCAAAACAGUUUUUCCCACGGCAACAGUAAAAGGGUGUGGGCGAUCGCAAGAUGGAGGAUAUGUAUCUUUGAAAGUCAAACCUCAACAAUAAAAACAAACAAAAACGUGGAAGAGAUACGGCAUUGUCUUGUCUCCCCCUUCUUGCCCAUUCUAGACAGCUUUAUCAGCCUGUUUAUUGACAGCACCCAAAUAAAUCAGAUUUUUUUUUAAGCCUUAUGUUUAUGAAGUGCUUUUCUCAGUUCCUCACCUCUCUAUCCACCCCCUUCCAAUUCCUAAUUCAUUACACAGAGUCUGAAGAGUACUUGGCUUGUAGUGAGUAGUCAAUAAAUGUUGAUGACGAUAACUCCUGUCAUUAUCCAGA